GUAGGGGGCAAGCGUUAUCCGGAUUUACUGGGUGUAAAGGGAGCGUAGACGGAUGGAUAAGUCUGAAGUGAAAGCCCGCGGCUCAACUGCGGGACUGCUUUGGAAACUGUGCAUCUUGAGUACGGGAGGGGCAGGCGGAAUUCCUGGUGUAGCGGUGAAAUGCGUAGAUAUCAGGAGGAACACCGGCGGCGAAGGCGGCCUGCUGGACCGAAACUGACGUUGAGGCUCGAAAGCGUGGGGAGCAAA
RNAcentral lists this ribosomal RNA (246 nucleotides) under uncultured bacterium. RNAcentral's name for it is "partial 16S ribosomal RNA". It matches the Rfam family "Bacterial small subunit ribosomal RNA", at positions 527 to 772 of the family's 1533-position model. The record is from RNAcentral.